GGGGGGAUAACAGUCCGAAAGGAUUGCUAAUACCGCAUACGUCGGCGCAAGCCGGGAAAGCAGCCCUCUUCAUGAAAGGUUGCACUGAGAGAUGAGUCCGCGUCCCAUCAGCUAGUUGGUAGGGUAAUGGCCUACCAAGGCAAAGACGGGUAGCUGGUCUGAGAGGAUGAUCAGCCACACUGGAACUGAGACACGGUCCAGACUCCUACGGGAGGCAGCAGUGGGGAAUAUUGGGCAAUGGGCGCAAGCCUGACCCAGCCACGCCGCGUGAGUGAUGAAGGCCUUCGGGUCGUAAAGCUCUGUGGGGAGGGACGAAAAAACGCUGGCCAACAUCCAGCGGACUGACGGUACCUCCUUAGCAAGCACCGGCUAACUCUGUGCCAGCAGCCGCGGUAA
Molecule: ribosomal RNA, 396 nt
Filed under: uncultured delta proteobacterium
Lineage: Bacteria; Deltaproteobacteria
Description: bacterial SSU rRNA
Rfam family: Bacterial small subunit ribosomal RNA
Source: RNAcentral